CCUACGGGAGGCUGCAGUGGGGAAUAUUGGACAAUGGGGGCAACCCUGACCCAGCCAUGCCGCGUGUGUGAAGAAGGCCCUCGGGUUGUAAAGCACUUUCAGUGAGGAAGAACGCCUGGUGGUUAAUACCCAUCAGGAAAGACAUCACUCACAGAAGAAGCACCGGCUAACUCCGUGCCAGCAGCCGCGGUAAUACGGAGGGUGCGAGCGUUAAUCGGAAUUACUGGGCGUAAAGCGCGCGUAGGUGGCUUGAUAAGCCGGUUGUGAAAGCCCCGGGCUCAACCUGGGAACGGCAUCCGGAACUGUCAAGCUAGAGUGCAGGAGAGGAAGGUAGAAUUCCCGGUGUAGCGGUGAAAUGCGUAGAGAUCGGGAGGAAUACCAGUGGCGAAGGCGGCCUUCUGGACUGACACUGACACUGAGGUGCGAAAGCGUGGGUAGCAAACAGGAUUAGAUACCCGGGUAGUC
RNAcentral lists this ribosomal RNA (465 nucleotides) under Vreelandella stevensii. RNAcentral describes it as "partial 16S ribosomal RNA". It matches the Rfam family "Bacterial small subunit ribosomal RNA", at positions 338 to 795 of the family's 1533-position model. Lineage: Bacteria; Pseudomonadati; Pseudomonadota; Gammaproteobacteria; Oceanospirillales; Halomonadaceae. The record is from RNAcentral.